UACGUAGGGCGCGAGCGUUGUCCGGAAUUAUUGGGCGUAAAGAGCUCGUAGGCGGCCUGUUGCGUCCGCUGUGAAAUCCCAGGGCUCAACCCUGGGCGUGCAGUGGAUACGGGCAGGCUGGAGGCAGGCAGGGGAGAACGGAAUUCCCGGUGUAGCGGUGAAAUGCGUAGAGAUGUGGAGGAACACCGAUGGCGCAGGCAGCCUCCUGGGCCAAUUCUGACGCUCAGGCACGAAAGCGUGGGGAUCAAACAGG
Molecule: ribosomal RNA, 253 nt
Filed under: uncultured bacterium
Lineage: Bacteria
Description: partial 16S ribosomal RNA
Rfam family: Bacterial small subunit ribosomal RNA
Source: RNAcentral